GAAGACCAAUGCUUCGCAUUGCUGGCAGCUGUCCAGAAAAAAACCUUGAGGAGCAGAAAAAAGCAAGUGCAGUGUUUUGGGCUCCCUCAUUUGGCACCCACACACAGAGGAUGGUCUAAUUGGGAUUCUAAAGCAGGCUGCCCUCCUGAGCAAUGAUUUCUCCAGGAUCUGGUUGCCUUUAAGUCGGGCUGAUGUGGAUCUCCAGUACUGGAGUGAGAGCUUGUAUUGUGCUCCAUUGAGGUGAUGUGCUCCCAUUGUUAAUAAUCGUCCUGGGACUAGAAGUGGGGUCACUGUGUCAAGUUGUUACAGACUGGCUGCCAUUAAUGGGAAGCUCGGUGCAGAGGUUACAAGCUGGUGUACUGAGCUCGGAUUGAAAAGAGGGGGAAAACAAUCUCUUUCCCCUUUGAUCAACUAAUGUUACUUUUUUCCUGGUUUUUUUUUCUGCCCUAAUGUUAUCUUUGCAGUGCUGAAUCUCUUACUGAGGAUUUUGCUGCAUAAAAUGUCGGUUUUGCUGGUGAUGUUUCUUCUUUCUUUGAAUAAAUGGGAAAGCAAAUAGUAAUCAUCCUGCUGUGUGUUUCGACAGGUUCGGUGGGAUCACACUCCAAGACCAAGAGGGUUUCUUUGAACUGGGCACCCAAAAUUACCUGUUACCAUGUUAGGUGAUAGAGCUGCCCCAUAUUUGACAUAAUGACUAAUGUUCCUUGUGUCAACAGAGUAGAAAGAAGACAUGAGGUUGUUGAGGCUGUGGCUGUGUUUGUUGAACAGUUCCCAGCUAGCCUGGGUGUGGGAUUGGUAUUUCCUGGAACAUCUUCUCUCCCAGUGAAGCUGGAAAGGAAUAAAGCUCAUUGAGUAGAGAGUCAGCCCAUGGCAGAGGGUUGGAAUGAGAUGAUCUUUAAAAUCCCUUUCAACACAAACCAUUCUGGGAUUCCAUGAGUAGGCAAGGUGCAAGCGAUUGGUAAAGUCCCCAUUGUCCACCCAAAACUGUUGCUGGUCCUGUGCUGUGGACACAAGGGGCCCUGAAAUAGGUGAGAGCUGGACACCUUGUUCCAUUGGAGUCCCUGCCUCUCCAAGGUGGGUUAGGAUCUGUGCCUGGGUGAGUUUAAUUACCGGAGACCUCAUUAUUUAUCAUACACAGACCUGAGAGAUGCUGUUCCUUUUAUUUUCUGACAGAACAUUCGAUUCCUUGUGUAGUUCCUGUGGCAUGUCUGCGCUGUUGAUCCCCAGGGAGACACAGAGAUGUGGAUGAUUUUCUUUUUCCAUGGACUGUGGGCUGUGAUUCCCUGAAAAUACCUUGGCCAGAAAGCAAUGCUGUGUCUCUUUGUUGUUCCACAUGUUGUUAAGCUUUAAAUGAUGCACAAGCCAGGAUCUAAGGCCAUGAGGUGGUUCAUGCACUGUGUGAGUGCUAAGGCUGGUGUUAGGAUGCCUCAUCAUGCCCAGUUUCUGCUGGUUCUGUGAGGUGUUUCGAGUUCACAAAGAGCAUCCUUCUCAGCACAGUGGAGUCUGAUGAGAUGGACGCCUCAGCAAACCUGAGCUCAUCUUUGGAGUCUCCAACUGCAACAGCAGCCAGGCUUCUCUCUGCCCUCUUGCCUCAGUUGAAAGUUGGGUAUAAAGAUAAAGAAAGGUUUUUCUAAUGCUUAAUAUCAUUAUCCAAUACUUUCCUCUGGUUGGAUUGUGUGUGCUGGGGAUAUUAUUAUAAUUAUAUUGGGAUCAGCAGUUACGGUGAUAUUGUGGUGGGGGCCUGAGUUACCUGGAUUAAAAGAUGAGUUACCUGGAUUUGAACAAUGAGCUGCCAGUACUACUUGGAAACCCAACUUAAGCCAUCAACAGUGCAGCAAAACCUGGAAAAGCUGCUCUCCAGAGCUGGUGCUGGGAUGCUGAAAGAACAGCAGUUGCCUCUUUUUCAUCUUUCUCUACUGGUGACUUUAAUUGCCCCUCAUUUCUCAGGGUUAUACUGUUGGAAAGUAAAGUAUGUAGUUCCUGCAUUCAUGUGUGAGUGUAGGAGAGAGGUGUUGAGCUUAUCAAAUAACAUAAUUUUUACUUGAUUUGCAGCAUAUUUGUGAUACAUCUGUUCUGCUGACCUGAUGUGCUGUCUUACAAUGUGCUACCAGUGCUCCACCAGCUGCUCCAUCACCUGGUGAGACGCUCCUGAGAAGUUCCUGCCUCCAGAGUGGCCUCCAGCCCAGGCCCAGAGGAUGGAUUUGGACCAGCCUGUGUUGCUGUGGAGACUGCAAGGAUGUUGAGGAUGCCAGGAGGAUCAUUCACAGGUGCUGUGCUCAGCAGAAUCUUCUCCCCACCUCUGCAGCAAAGCUACCAGUGCCUGCUGGGAUAAAAAUGUGAAUUUACAGA
This is a long non-coding RNA of Corvus hawaiiensis (hawaiian crow), 2346 nucleotides long. RefSeq lists it as uncharacterized. The transcript has 5 exons. The record is from RefSeq and is a predicted model, not a curated record. Lineage: Eukaryota; Metazoa; Chordata; Aves; Passeriformes; Corvidae.